AUACUUACCUGGCAUAGGGGUUACCGUGAUCCUGAAGGCGGUUCCCCCAGGGUGAGGCCUGUCCAUUGCACUUCGGUCGGGCUGACCCCUGCGAUUUUCUCUCAUGUAGAAAACUCGUAUGUGUAAUUUUUGGUAGCCGGGACGUGCGUACGCGCACAUCCCGA
This is a small nuclear RNA of Culex pipiens (northern house mosquito), 164 nucleotides long. It matches the Rfam family "U1 spliceosomal RNA". Rfam says of the family: U1 is a small nuclear RNA (snRNA) component of the spliceosome (involved in pre-mRNA splicing). Its 5' end forms complementary base pairs with the 5' splice junction, thus defining the 5' donor site of an intron. There are significant differences in sequence and secondary structure between metazoan and yeast U1 snRNAs, the latter being much longer (568 nucleotides as compared to 164 nucleotides in human). NCBI's taxonomy places the organism in Eukaryota, Metazoa, Arthropoda, Insecta, Diptera, Culicidae. The record is from Rfam.